GGGGGGGGGGGGGGGGGGGGGGGGGGGGGGGGGGGGGGGGGGGGGGGGCGGGGGGGGUGGCGCGGGGGGGCGGGGGGGGUGGGGGUGGGCGCUGGGGGGCGGAAUGGCGGGGGGAGAUUGCUGCGAGUACCGGAUGAUGUCUUCGGACCAAAGACUUAUCGCCCAGGGCUGAGCCCGCGUAGGAUUCGCUGGUUGGUGGGGUAAUGGCCUACCAAGGCGACGAUCCUUAGCUGGUCGGAGAGGCGGAUCAGCCACGCUGGGACUGAGACACGGCCCAGACUCCUACGGGAGGCAGCAGUGGGGAAUAUUGGACAAUGGGCGCAAGCCUGAUCCAGCAAUGCCGCGUGAGUGAUGAAGGCCUUAGGGUUGUAAAGCUCUAUUACCCGGGAUGAUAAUGACAGUACCGGGAGAAUAAGCUCCGGCUAACUCCGUG
Molecule: ribosomal RNA, 433 nt
Filed under: uncultured bacterium
Lineage: Bacteria
Description: partial 16S ribosomal RNA
Rfam family: Bacterial small subunit ribosomal RNA (bases 48-433)
Source: RNAcentral